Molecule: ribosomal RNA, 566 nt
Filed under: uncultured Bacteroidota bacterium
Lineage: Bacteria; Pseudomonadati; Bacteroidota
Description: bacterial SSU rRNA
Rfam family: Bacterial small subunit ribosomal RNA
Source: RNAcentral
AGACUUUGAUCAUGGCUCAGGAUGAACGCUAGCUACAGGCUUAACACAUGCAAGUCGAGGGGCAGCAUUCGCGUAGCAAUACGUGAGAUGGCGACCGGCGCACGGGUGAGUAACACGUAUCCAACCUGCCGAACAUUCGGGGAUAGCCUUUCGAAAGAAAGAUUAAUACCCGAUGGCAUGCGCUGACCGCAUGGUUUGCGCGUUAAAGAAUUUCGAUGUUCGAUGGGGAUGCGUUCCAUUAGGCAGUUGGCGGGGUAACGGCCCACCAAACCGACGAUGGAUAGGGGUUCUGAGAGGAAGGUCCCCCACAUUGGAACUGAGACACGGUCCAAACUCCUACGGGAGGCAGCAGUGAGGAAUAUUGGUCAAUGGGCGCGAGCCUGAACCAGCCAAGUAGCGUGAAGGAUGACUGCCCUAUGGGUUGUAAACUUCUUUUAUAGGGGAAUAAAGUUGGCCGCGUGUGGCCUUUUGUAUGUACCUUAUGAAUAAGGAUCGGCUAACUCCGUGCCAGCAGCCGCGGUAAUACGGAGGAUCCGAGCGUUAUCCGGAUUUAUUGGGUUUAAAGA